GCGCAAGUGGCGUAAUGGCAGCCGCGCCAGACUUAGGAUCUGGUGCCGAAAGGCGUAAGGGUUCGAGUCCCCCCUUGCGCA
RNAcentral lists this transfer RNA (81 nucleotides) under Muribaculaceae bacterium. RNAcentral describes it as "tRNA-Leu". It matches the Rfam family "tRNA". From Rfam's summary of the family: Transfer RNA (tRNA) molecules are approximately 80 nucleotides in length. Their secondary structure includes four short double-helical elements and three loops (D, anti-codon, and T loops). The record is from RNAcentral. Lineage: Bacteria; Pseudomonadati; Bacteroidota; Bacteroidia; Bacteroidales; Muribaculaceae.